GAUGAAGAACGCAGCGAAAUGCGAUACUUGGUGUGAGUUGCAGAAUCCCGUGAACCAUCGAGUCUUUGAACGCAAGUUGCGCCUCAAGCCAUUAGGUUGAGGGCACGUCUGCCUGGGCGUCACAUAUCGUUGCCUGAUGCCAGUUUCCUCGUGAUGGGUGACUGUGCAGGGCGAAUGAUGGCUUCCCGUGAGCAUUGUUGCCUCAUGGUUGGUUGAAAAUUGAGUCCUUGGUAGGGAGCGCCGUGAUAGAUGGUGGUUGAGUGACGAACGAGACCCAAUCAUGUGAGAGCCCUACCGAAUUUGGCCUUCAUGACCCACAUGCGUCUUUGGAACGCUCAUGACGAGACCUCAGGUCAGGCGGGGCUACCCGCUGAGUUUAAGCAUAUCAAUAAGCGGAGGA
This 400-nucleotide unclassified non-coding RNA is filed under the name soil metagenome. RNAcentral describes it as "partial contains 5.8S ribosomal RNA, internal transcribed spacer 2, and large subunit ribosomal RNA". The stretch from base 1 to 122 matches the Rfam family "5.8S ribosomal RNA", at positions 35 to 154 of the family's 154-position model. The record is from RNAcentral.